CCUCUCAGGUAAUUAGAUUUCGACUCACGUUCUGUUAGGUUGCUGAGAAAAUGCAGGAAAACUUAAAAAAGCAAGGGAAAUGGGCUAGAUAAGGGGAAGUAAGUAAUCUUAUUUAGUUACUGAAACAACGGGGUUCUGUUUUUUUUUUCUUUUUUUCUUUCAAGGUUUCCUGCAAGAAAUAUUUGUUGUAUUGAAAUAUAAAUCCUAGUUUUUCUCUUCCAAAAUUUUUUUCCACUUAGCAACUGAACUGACCAUUUGGAUUCUUAUUUGGUACUGUUGGUAGUUGGCGCUUAACCUUUUCUCAUUUUGUUUAUCACUCUUCAUCAUCAUCAUCAUCAUCAUCAUCUUCUUCUUAUUAACAGUUACGCUCAGGCUGGUUUUGAUAUGAAAGAGGUUUUCCUACAUAUAAAAUUGAUAGAGCAAGCAUCAGGAGACGACCAUCCUGCAAUAUUAAUUCAAGAAGUUUCUGAUGAUGAAGUACAGGGUUCUGUAUUCAAGCUCACAUUUGCCUGUAACUCUUUGAUUUCUUGGCCAGCCAUGUCGGGUGCACUUGAUAGUGCCUCCAUUUGUUGUAAGAAGAUACAGAUCUUCGAGAAGAAGGGGUUCACACUCGGGAUUAUUAUUCUUUUGGUUCAAGCUGGGCAUGAAAAAUUGUUUAAAAUCCGGAUCGAAAGUGCCUUGAAGUCUGCUAUAAAGAAGCCGAAACCCACUUCAGUGAAGCUGCCAUUUGGGCUUUGUGGGUGUCAAGAAGAGAACACCAGGGGGAGAGAAUUUGGGGAGAUUGAAGAAGAACCUACGGAGCAGAGUUAUAAAAACGGGAUUGAGAAUUUGAACAUGAAGAUCCAGCUUCAAACACCGCUGCCUAAUUCUUCAUUUGUUGUCUCAGUCGACGAAUGGCAGACUAUCGUAUCUGGUGCUGAUGAAAUUGGGAAAUGGUUGCUUAACUCUGACAAUCUUGAGUUUAUUGAGCAGAUUGGCACCAAUUCUUUUAAAGGUGUUUACAAGGGCAAGUGUGUUGGAAUCGAGAAACUCAAGGGCUGUGAGAAGGGAAAUUCUUAUCAAUUUGAGCUUCGGAGAGAUCUCUUGGAGUUAAUGACUUGCAGGCAUAAGAACAUUCUGCAGUUUUGUGGCGUUUGUGUUGAUGAAAAUCAUGGUUUGUGUGUUGUGACGAAGUUGAUGGAAGGUGGAUCAGUUCAUGACUUGAUGCUAAAGAACAAGAAGCUUCAGACUAAGGAGAUAAUUAGGAUUGCAGCUGAUAUAGCUGAAGGGGUCAAAUUUAUGAAUGAUCACGGUGUUGCAUAUAGAGACGUCAACACACAGAGGAUUCUGCUAGAUAAGCAUGGGAAUGCCUGUUUAGGGGACAUGGGGAUAGUCUCUGCUUGCAAGAGUGUUGGUGAAGCAAUGGAGUAUGAAACUGAUGGCUAUCGGUGGCUAGCUCCUGAGGUUUGUGUUCUUUUACUUGAUUGUAGUUAAAAAGUUCACUUAAUUCAUGUUAUUAUUGUUGACGGUAACUAUAAUUGUUGGAUGCAUGAUCGUGACGGUCAUCAUGUUAUCAGAGCAUAUCCCAGUAACCCCCAUCAAUAAUGUCAUUAGCAUUAGGUUAUAAAGCUUUAGAAUGAUUACCUCUAGAAUGGUAUGUCUGGACCGAUGGCGCAAAUUUCUUCCUCAAAUGCUGAGAAAAUAACUAGUCAAUGAUCCGUAAUCAUGAGGUUAUUAGAAGACCUUCUAUUGAUUGCUUCCUUAUGGAAUUUCUGAAUUUAUUCUGAGUGAAAGUUCAAAUGCUCCUUGAGUUGCUAUGCAAUGCGGUUUGUUUUAUUGUGAACUGGGAGCAGUCAAGGCACAAAUGUUCUUCUGGUUGGAGCUUGUUUGCAGCCUUGAGAUAUAUGCUAAUACAGUCUGC
Molecule: long non-coding RNA, 1900 nt
Filed under: Carica papaya (papaya)
Lineage: Eukaryota; Viridiplantae; Streptophyta; Magnoliopsida; Brassicales; Caricaceae
Description: long non-coding RNA (CPAP_LNC012772)
Source: RNAcentral